Molecule: ribosomal RNA, 500 nt
Filed under: uncultured bacterium
Lineage: Bacteria
Description: partial 16S ribosomal RNA
Rfam family: Bacterial small subunit ribosomal RNA
Source: RNAcentral
AUUGAACGCUGGCGGCAUGCUUUACACAUGCAAGUCGAACGGUAACAGGGAGCUUGCUCCGCUGACGAGUGGCGAACGGGUGAGUAAUAUAUCGGAACGUGCCCAAGAGUGGGGGAUAACGUAGCGAAAGUUACGCUAACACCGCAUACGAUCCAAGGAUGAAAGCAGGGGACCUUCGGGCCUUGUGAUCCUGGAGCGGCCGAUAUCUGAUUAGCUAGUUGGUGAGGUAAAGGCUCACCAAGGCGACGAUCAGUAGCUGGUCUGAGAGGACGACCAGCCACACUGGAACUGAGACACGGUCCAGACUCCUACGGGAGGCAGCAGUGGGGAAUUUUGGACAACGGGGGCAACCCUGAUCCAGCAAUGCCGCGUGAGUGAAGAAGGCCUUCGGGUUGUAAAGCUCUUUUGUCAGGGAAGAAAAGGGUACGGCUAAUAUCCGUGCCUCAUGACGGUACCCGAAGAAUAAGCACCGGCUAACUACGUGCCAGCCGCCGCAGUAA